AGUGAACGCUGGCGGUAGGCCUAACACAUGCAAGUCGAACGGCAGCACAGUAAGAGCUUGCUCUUACGGGUGGCGAGUGGCGGACGGGUGAGGAAUACAUCGGAAUCUACUUUUUCGUGGGGGAUAACGUAGGGAAACUUACGCUAAUACCGCAUACGACCUACGGGUGGAAGCAGGGGAUCUUCGGACCUUGCGCGAUUGAAUGAGCCGAUGUCGGAUUAGCUAGUUGGCGGGGUAAAGGCCCACCAAGGCGACGAUCCGUAGCUGGUCUGAGAGGAUGAUCAGCCACACUGGAACUGAGACACGGUCCCGACUCCUACGGGAGGCAGCAGUGGGGAAUAUUGGACAAUGGGCGCAAGCCUGAUCCAGCCAUACCGCGUGGGUGAAGAAGGCCUUCGGGUUGUAAAGCCCUUUUGUUGGGAAAGAAAAGCAGCAGGUUAAUACCCCGCUGUUCUGACGGUACCCAAAGAAUAAGCACCGGCUAACUUCGUG
Molecule: ribosomal RNA, 492 nt
Filed under: uncultured bacterium
Lineage: Bacteria
Description: partial 16S ribosomal RNA
Rfam family: Bacterial small subunit ribosomal RNA
Source: RNAcentral